GAAAGAAACAAAUACGUGGAACCUCACGUCCACAUGUAGCAAGAGCCGCUCUAGUUGCCACGACGGUGCUUGUAUAAUUCAUACUUGUGCCUUGGGAACAAACAUGGAUCCUGAUUAUUCGUGAAUCUUGUGUGAAACAACGUUUAUACAUAUCAGGCCGUGUGAUAUAGCUUGCAACUUGCAAACAACUGCAAGGCGUUAUAAAUAAACUACACGAAAUUACUAUAAUUGAGCAUAUGAGAAGCUUCUGAGGGAGAGAAAGGGUGGAUGUGACAAUUUCAGUUGGUUAGCUUCGAGUUGGAGGUACACACCCUAAGCUAAGUUGGCUUGCAUCUUUUGCAACCGGGUAGAGUUACUUGGUUUUUUCUUCACGAGAGAUUUCUAUGAUAAUUCCGUGACUCCUGUCUACAUUUUCGUUAAUUACUAAAGCCAUUUCUUUUUCUUUUGCGGGUGGAUAAAGCCAUCUUUGUAAUCUCAAAAAAAGGAAAAUCAACCACCUGGAUAUAUAUGGUGGCAUAGCUACCGUCCAUAUUUGUAAGGUUCUGUAGUUAUUUAGGACCCUAACCUUUCUUCCUAAUAUCUAGUGUACAAUGCAUAUCUGUGAUACGGCCCAGAUUAUGCUCAAUAUGAUACGUCAGAUCUGGACCGGAGGGACAAGAUUGACCAUCCUUACUUCCAGGGACGGAUCUAAGGGGAGACGAGGGGGGCUAGACCCCCCUCAAUGAAUUGAUUCUUUUUCAAUAUUAGUAGUUACUUCAGCCAAAAUUUCCUAAAAACUGAAAGCUUUGCCCCCUUCAUCAGCAAGCUUGCCCCCUCCAUGCGUUCACCCCUACGUUCCUG
RNAcentral lists this long non-coding RNA (840 nucleotides) under Hordeum vulgare. RNAcentral describes it as "long non-coding RNA (HVUL_LNC017450)". Lineage: Eukaryota; Viridiplantae; Streptophyta; Magnoliopsida; Poales; Poaceae. The record is from RNAcentral.